This 497-nucleotide ribosomal RNA is filed under the name uncultured bacterium. RNAcentral describes it as "partial 16S ribosomal RNA". It matches the Rfam family "Bacterial small subunit ribosomal RNA", at positions 28 to 507 of the family's 1533-position model. The record is from RNAcentral.
GAUGAACGCUGGCGGCGUGCCUAAUACAUGCAAGUCGAGCGAACGGACGAGAAGCUUGCUUCUCUGAUGUUAGCGGCGGACGGGUGAGUAACACGUGGAUAACCUACCUAUAAGACUUGGAUAACUUCGGGAAACCGGAGCUAAUACCGGAUAAUAUUUUGAACCGCAUGGUUCAAAAGUGAAAGACGGUCUUGCUGUCACUUAUAGAUGGAUCCGCGCUGCAUUAGCUAGUUGGUAAGGUAAAGGCUUACCAAGGCAACGAUGCAUAGCCGACCUGAGAGGGUGAUCGGCCACACUGGAACUGAGACACGGUCCAGACUCCUACGGGAGGCAGCAGUAGGGAAUCUUCCGCAAUGGGCGAAAGCCUGACGGAGCAACGCCGCGUGAGUGAUGAAGGUCUUCGGAUCGUAAAACUCUGUUAUUAGGGAAGAACAUAUGUGUAAGUAACUGUGCACAUAGUGACGGUACCUAAUCAGAAAGCCACGGCUAACUACGUG